Long non-coding RNA from Equus caballus (horse), 4640 nucleotides. The record is from Ensembl. NCBI's taxonomy places the organism in Eukaryota, Metazoa, Chordata, Mammalia, Perissodactyla, Equidae.
CUAGAAUCCAGGAGGCACUCAAUUCAUGUUUACACAAACGAACGAAUCUCAGUAACGCUGCAUGGCAUCUUAUAAGACGGAAAGGUGAUUUUCCUGGGUUGGAAAGGAACAGAAGAGAGAGCUGCCUACCUAGGGCUUAAGGGGCCUCAGGCUGGCACCCGAAGCCAGGCGUUCUCAUUUCCCUUUGGCACCAUCCUGAACUGCCAGAAGCUGGCGCGAUGCUAAAGGAGGGAGGAAACGCAUGUGAGGAAAAUCAGAGAGGAGAGGCUCGGGAACAGAUUUACCGGACCACGAGGACAGACCCAGUGGCAGUACCUGGCAUAGAGCUGGGUAUGAAAGACUUCCUGAACAAAUGAACACCGUCAGAGGCUCUUGUUCCCACCCCACACCCCCGGGCCCCCCAGCGCGCUCCCCCAAUGUGGCCACAGCGCCUGGCGCGUAGUAGGCGCUCCCUAAACAUCUGUAGAGCAAAUGAGCUGCAAGUUUUCGGCGCGGAGCACGUGGAGCUUUGGAAACCAGGACGGCCGAUGAAGUGGGUGUCAGAUCACAAAAGCGACCCGGGCGCGUGCGACAGGCGGCGGCGGGCGAGAGGCGAGAGCGCUGCAGGGCGCGGGGCGCGGCGCGGGGGGCGCUGCCUGCGUGGCGCCCGAGGCGGGGGCGUGGGGGCCGCGCGCCGGCACGUGCUCGGCUUGGCUCGGCUCGGCCGCUGGCGGGGCGGCGAGGGGCGCGCGGGUGCGCGUGCGGGCGCGGGGUGUGUGCCCGCGCCGUGCCCCCUGCGCGUGCUGCCAGGCGGGCGCCGGCGUGAGUCACGGCCCUGCUGCCUUUAUAACGGCCGCGAGGCGCGCGGAGCCGCCCGCCCGACCGCUGCUCCGCGUUCCGGCGAGCGCGCCCGGCCCGCGCCCCCAACGUCCCCCAACCGCCGGCCAGGCCCGAGGGCGCCAUGAGGAGCCCGCGCUGCGCCCCGCUGCUGCUCCUGCUGCUGCUGCCGCCGCUGCUGCUCACGCCCCCCGCCGGGGACGCCGCCGUCAUCACCGGGGCCUGCGACAAGGACCCCCAGUGUGGUGGAGGCAUGUGCUGCGCUGUUAGUAUCUGGGUUAAGAGCAUAAGGAUUUGCACACCUAUGGGCAAAGUGGGAGACAGCUGCCAUCCGCUGACUCGUAAAGUUCCAUUUUUUGGGCGGAGAAUGCAUCACACGUGUCCAUGUAUGCCGGGCUUAGCUUGUUUACGGACUUCGUUUAAUCGAUUUAUUUGUUUAGCCCGAAAGUAAUCACUUUGGAGUAGAAACUUGAAAUGUGAACAGCCGCACGAUGUCUGUAAAGUCUAUUUACUUGUGAUUGUGCCAAACAAGUAAGAUGCCAGAAAGAAAUGCUGUUGCUUCCUCAACUUUCCAAGUAACAGUUCUAGCUUUGAUUUUUAAAUGAUGGUUUUUUUAAAUUGAAAGAGGAUUUUAAUUUUGGACAGAAAUGUAAAGUGCAAGGCAUUAUGGAACCAGUUCUCGUUUCCCUGUUUGUGUUUUGGUUUGGUUUUGCUUUUUUUUUUUUUAAUGCCAAUAACUCACCCAUUUUCACAAAAAUGAGGAGAACAAGAAUUUGAUAUUUUGUUACAGAAACUUAUUUUUCCUUAAACCCCUGUCCCCAAGCCCUGGCCCCAGAUACACACACACACACACACAGCCCUUUGAGUCUCGUCUCUCACUCGUCAAGGAAUUUUAAGUCUGUCACUUUAUUCUUUGCCAUUUCCCUCUCUGACCUUCUAGCAUUUUAAAGUGUGCGCGUGGGGUCCAUGUCCUUUAACUUGCUGGCAGAAUCACUGACAAGAAUCAAGCUUUUUGCUUGAUACUUAAACAGUGGAAAGAGUCUAGUGGAACCAGCUGCUCCAGACUUCUCUUCUGUGGGGUGGAGGUUGGGGUGCUUCUGAAUUUCCACUGAACUUGCCUCUGAGAUGGACUUCAGGUCUGCUGUUUGACUGGGGGGAGGACAGGAGGCAUGGAAAGUCAAAUUAGUCCAGAUUUGUAGAUUUGGGGUUUUUUUUUUUUGAAGGCUUUUCUAAUACAAGAUUACUUUUAUUUCUCUUUCUCUUUAUAAAACUUUUUUUAAAGUCUCAUAGUUAGAGAUGUUCCAGAAAAUGUCACUUGAAGAGGAAGUAUUGAUUUUAAUCUGGCAUAACACUAGUUACCAUUUUUAAAUCGGUAUUACGUUGUAAUUUAAACUUUAUCUGUAACCAAAAGGUCUGUUGUAAUGGAUUGCCUGACAUCCUGCCAUUUGUACCUGUAUCAAUAUUGUGUAAAAAUUCUGUAUCAGAAUAAUGACAGUAUUGUAUAUCAUUUGAUUUAUUUUAAUAUUAUAUCCUUAUUUUUGUCACAGUUGUCGUCAGUUUUUAUUACAAGGAAACUCCUCUAUAGCUCACAUUCUAAAGUGGGUAAAGACUCCAAAGUUGGUAAAAUAGCACUAACGGCAUGUGCAUUUUCAUUUUACAUACAGGAAAGUUCUGUUUGCAUGAAUUUUAAGGUAGUACAAAAAAUAAACAGUGUGUAAAUCAGUGAGGUUUUGGAGCACAACGGAAAAUUAUGACAUGCAAAACUGACUGUAAUCAGGAAUGGACUCAUGGGAUUUCACUGUGUUGAUCUGGCCAAUAGUGCCGGAGUGUUUGUCAUGGUUAGGCAGGUGCUAGCCAAAAGGCGAUGCCCGUGUAGCCUGGCCUUGAAAAACCCACGGAGUAUUGUAAAUGAUUGAACGUCGCAAAUAAACAACUUAUGAAAUGCGUUCAACUGACUAAACUUGACCAUGCCAACCCACUAACUGUUUCCAAAAAAAAAAAAAACUGUCCAUUUGUAGUUCUUUACUCAGCCAGGGCUUACAAUUGUACAUUGUGUGUAACUUUACCCUUGGGGUUAACACGUCCCAUGAAUGUAUGGGAUUUUGCUGUGCUAAUUGCCAUACUUCAUCAUAGAAGUAUUAUUUUUGGUUCAGUUAGUUUGUUUUCAAGAAGCUUUCCUCAGCCCAAUGGUGUAGUGGUUGGGUUUGCGUUCUCCACUUCAGCAGACUGGGGUUCCCGGAUUUGGAUCCCGGGCAUGGACCUACACACUGCUCAUCGGCCAUGCUGUGGCAGAAACCCACAUACAAACUGGAGGAAGAUUGGCACAGAUGUUAGCUCAACGGCAGUCUUUCUCAAGCAAAAAGAGGAAGAUUUGCAACAAAGGUUAGCUCAAGCCCAAUCUUCCUCACCAAAAAAAAGAAAGAAACAUUCCUCAGUGAAUUUGUUGAAAAAAAAUUCAAGUGGAAUUGUGGGAAAAGAAACAGGCACUUCCAUAAUUUUGCUCAAUGUUGUUUUUAUAUAGUGUUUGAUACAUCCUUUUUCAUAAGUGGUGAAAACUUAAUAGGGUCAAUCAUCGAUUUUCACCCAAGUUAGAAAACAUAUAGCUAAUUUUUAUAAAAUUUUACUUUUACGGAUACCAACUCAAUUUUUCGAAAAAUCACUACCUAAAGAAGUAGACUGGGGCCAGCCCAGUGGUGCAGCAGUUAAGUUUGCAUGCUCUGCUUCAGUGGCCCGGGGUUCACUGGUUUGGAUCCCCAGUGCAGACAUGGUACUGCUUGGCAAGCCACGUUGUGGCAGGCGUCCCACAUAUAAAGUAGAGGAAGAUGGGCAUAGAUGUUAGUUCAGGGCCAGUCUUCCUCAGCAAAAAGAGGAGGAUUGGCAGCAGAUGUUAGCUCAGGACUAAUCUUCCCCAAAAGAAAAAAGUAGACUGUGUGUUCAUAGCCAAGAGAACUGUACCUACUGACUCACUGCCAUCCAAAGAAAAAUGGGACUUUGUCAUUUGUUACCUUUCCCCUGGGUUAUUAUUUUUAUUGAGGAGUAAUGCUCCCUUUUUUUAGUGUACAGUUCUAUUUUGUUAUUAUUUUUUAACUUUUUAUCAAAAUUAAUUUCAAAUAAUUGUUUCAAAAAACUUGUAAUCAUGCGUCGUGGAGGUUCAUACAAAGUUUAGUGCUGUAAAGAUCAUAGUAUUGCUGCUUCUAGCCCUGGGGAUAGUAUCUCCCUGAAGCUGGGACUUCAUUGGCCAGAAUUUCUAUAAGGUUAGGUAAAGUGAGAAUUUACACAAGAAAAACUAAGUCAACAAUCUACGGUGAUGUAAUUUUUUUUUGCUGAGGAAGAUUCUGCCUGAGCUAACAUCUUUGGUAAAGUUACUCUUUUUUUUUCUCCUUGAGGAAGAUUAGCCCUGAGCUGACAUCUGUGCCAAUCUUCCUCCAUUUUGUAUGUGGGGCACCGCCACAGCGUAGCUGGUGAGUGGAGUAGGUCUGCACCCGGGAUCUGAACCUCUGAACCCCAGGCCGCGGAAGCAAAGCACCCGGAACUUUAACCACUACAACACAGGGCCGGGCCCUACUUUGAGUGGUUGCUUUGCACAGGGUGGGAUCAACCCUCCAUCCAAAAUGGGUUUGGAUGUUGCACUGAUGAUAUGGCACACAUCAGGAGGAUGGGACAAGAUUCAUCACUCACAGCAUGGGAUUUUCUGGCGACAAUAAAGCAGGUUCUGAAAGCUGUCAUCUAUCUACGGAUUAAGAAAUGAUGGAGACAGGGAAAGGCACUGAGGCCCAUUACAACAGUAAAUUUUCUUAUGAUGUGUAAAUGAAUUUUAAUCUGGC